UACGGAGGGUGCAAGCGUUAUCCGGGUUCACUGGGUUUAAAGGGAGCGUAGGUGGGUUGGUAAGUCAGUGGUGAAAUCCCCGAGCUUAACUUGGGAACUGCCAUUGAUACUAUCAGUCUUGAAUACCGUGGAGGUCAGCGGAAUAUGUCAUGUAGCGGUGAAAUGCUUAGAUAUGACAUAGAACACCAAUUGCGAAGGCAGCUGGCUACACGAUUAUUGACACUGAGGCUCGAAAGCGUGGGGAUCAAACAGG
Molecule: ribosomal RNA, 253 nt
Filed under: uncultured bacterium
Lineage: Bacteria
Description: partial 16S ribosomal RNA
Rfam family: Bacterial small subunit ribosomal RNA
Source: RNAcentral